This 301-nucleotide ribosomal RNA is filed under the name uncultured bacterium. Its description in RNAcentral is "partial 16S ribosomal RNA". It matches the Rfam family "Bacterial small subunit ribosomal RNA", at positions 509 to 807 of the family's 1533-position model. The record is from RNAcentral.
CAGCCGCCGCGGGAAAACGGAGGGUGCAAGCGUUAAUCGGAAUUACUGGGCGUAAAGCGCACGCAGGCGGUCUGUCAAGUCGGAUGUGAAAUCCCCGGGCUCAACCUGGGAACUGCAUUCGAAACUGGCAGGCUAGAGUCUUGUAGAGGGGGGUAGAAUUCCAGGUGUAGCGGUGAAAUGCGUAGAGAUCUGAAGGAAUACCGGUGGCGAAGGCGGCCCCCUGGACAAAGACUGACGCUCAGGUGCGAAAGCGUGGGGAGCAAACAGGAUUAGAUACCCGAGUAGUCCCUGUCUCUUAUAC